UCUAAAAACUUCAUCUCCACUCUCUCUAACUCAAUAUCUCUAUCCGUCAAACUCAGAAAUUCCACACUUCUUCGUCUCUUCCUCUCUUUGUGUUUGAAAAACAAAUUGAAGUUUUAAUUCAUAUUGUACAUACCAUUUCUUUACCAUCAACUAUAUGGCUGUGGUGACCAUCUUGGUGGUGCCAAUAGUUCUGGUUGUGAUGAUGGUGGUGAUAGUCAGAGUGGAUCUUCCUCAGCCACAGGUGUGGUCGUGCUUAGCACUUUGGUUGCUGUCUCUGGUUCCUAUGUUUUUGGCAUAGUUGUGGGAUAUUCAUCACCUGCUCAGUCUGGAAUCAUGGAUGACCUGGGUCUUUCUGUGGCAGAGUACUCACUUUUUGGUUCAAUAUUGACAAUUGGAGCAAUGAUAGGUGCAAUAGUGAGUGGCCAAAUAGCAGAUUACAUAGGUAGAAGAUGUACAAUGGGCUUUUCAGAGAUAUUCUGCCUGGCAAGGUGGCUAGCCAUAGCAUUCUCAAAGGGUGCUUGGUGGCUUGACCUUGGGAGACUGUUGGUAGGUUGUGGGAUGGGACUCCUUUCCUAUGUGGUACCUAUAUAUUUUAGCAGAAAUAACACUAAGAAUCUUCUGGUAGGGUUUACAACUGUUCAUCAGUUAAUGAUUUGUUGUGGCGUAUCGUUAACAUAUCAAACUGGAGCUUUUGUGAACUAGCGAACUUUGGCUCUGAUUGGAACCAUACCAUGUCUAGUACAACUUCUUGGUCUAUUCUUCAUUCCAGAAUCUCCAAGAUGGCUGGCAAAAAUUGAUCGAAAGAAAGAGUGUGAAGCUGCUCUACAGCACCUUAGGGGGCAGAAUGCUGAUAUCACUCCAGAAGCUAUUGAGAUUAGAGUAACUUUUGGACUUCAGAUGUCAGAGUACACAGAAACCCUUCAACUACUUUCUGAAGCUAGUAUUCUUGACUUAUUUCAAUGGAAAUAUGCUUACUCACUUAUUGUUGGAGUUGGCCUGAUGGUACUACAACAAUUUGGAGGAGUCAAUGGAAUUGCAUUUUAUGCAAGUGCUAUAUUCAUAUCAGCUGGGCUUUCGAGUAGUAUUGGGGCCAUAGCAAUGGUCAUUGUUCAGAUUCCAAUGACAGCAUUAGGGGUAAUUUUGAUGGAUAAAUCUGAAAGGUGGCCACUUCUAUUGGUUUCUGUAGCAGGAACUUGCUUAGGUUGCUUGCUUGUGGGAUUGUCAUUCUUCUUGCAGGUGUACACAGGAUCUUUCUCAUUAGGCAUGGGAGGAAUUCCUUGGGUUAUAAUGUCAGAGAUAUUUCCCAUAAACAUGAAGGGCUCAGCUGGAAGCCUUGUUACAUUGGUUAGCUGGUUAGGUUCUUGGAUUGUAUCAUAUGCUUUUAACUUUCGAAUGGAUUGGAGCUCAAUAGGAACAUUCUUCACAUUCUCAAGCAUAUGUGGCUUGACUGUUUUGUUCGUGGCAAAGUUGGUACCAGAGACCAAGGGGCGAACACUUGAAGAAAUUCAAGCAUCAUUGAAUCUAUUUUCAGCAAAAAAAUGAAUUUCGCAUGCCUGUACGAUAACACCAAUCCAUGUUCGAAUAAGCAAAAUAAAUUAUAAAAUAUCAACUCCAUAAAAUUGUGGUACUGAGUGCUAGACUAAUUGGUAAAUGGUUGUCACAAUAAGCAAGGUUUUUUUCAAAAGUCAAGAUAUCUUUGCAGCUAUCAUCCAAGAAUUAUUUUUUAAAACUGUUAUGGGAUUGAUAACCAUAGCUUGAAACUCUGCAUUGCACUUGGAGAGAAACUACCUAAUCACCACCUAAUUUAGGGAAUGUGAAAGGUAAAUCUUGAAUUUUUAAACAUUUAGAGACCAUUUGACUUGUGGAAUCUUCCAUUCCAGAAAUCAUAUCCAUGGAAAUAUAGAGUUAUCAAGUUUGGUUUAUUAGAUGCAUUCCUAUCAAAUUCGU
RNA transcript from Quercus lobata, 1947 nucleotides. It is a transcript of the gene named sugar transporter ERD6-like 5, with no coding region annotated. The transcript has 17 exons. The record is from RefSeq and is a predicted model, not a curated record. NCBI's taxonomy places the organism in Eukaryota, Viridiplantae, Streptophyta, Magnoliopsida, Fagales, Fagaceae.